UGGGGAAUAUUGCACAAUGGGCGAAACUCUGAUGCAGCGACGCCGCGUGAGGGAAGAAGGUCUUCGGAUUGUAAACCUCUGUCUUUGGGGACGAAGAAAGUGACGGUACCCAAAGAGGAAGCCACGGCUAACUACGUGCCAGCAGCCGCGGUAAUACGUAGGUGGCGAGCGUUGUCCGGAAUUACUGGGUGUAAAGGGUGCGUAGGCGGACUGGCAAGUUGGAUGUGAAAUCUCCGCGCUUAACGUGGAGGUUGCAUUCAAAACUGUUGGUCUUGAGUGAGGCAGAGGCAGGCGGAAUUCCCGGUGUAGCGGUGAAAUGCGUAGAGAUCGGGAGGAACACCAGUGGCGAAGGCGGCCUGCUGGGCCUUAACUGACGCUGAGGCACGAAAGCAUGGGUAGCAAACA
Molecule: ribosomal RNA, 405 nt
Filed under: uncultured bacterium
Lineage: Bacteria
Description: bacterial SSU rRNA
Rfam family: Bacterial small subunit ribosomal RNA
Source: RNAcentral